This 240-nucleotide ribosomal RNA is filed under the name uncultured bacterium. RNAcentral's name for it is "partial 16S ribosomal RNA". It matches the Rfam family "Bacterial small subunit ribosomal RNA", at positions 94 to 334 of the family's 1533-position model. The record is from RNAcentral.
AGCGGCGGACGGGUGAGUAACGCGUGGGUAACCUGCCUCAUACAGGGGGAUAACAGUUGGAAACGGCUGCUAAUACCGCAUAAGCGCACAGUACCGCAUGGUACGGUGUGAAAAACUCCGGUGGUAUGAGAUGGACCCGCGUCUGAUUAGCUAGUUGGUGGGGUAACGGCCUACCAAGGCGACGAUCGGUAGCCGGACUGAGAGGUUGAACGGCCACAUUGGGACUGAGACACGGCCCAG